This 1646-nucleotide long non-coding RNA is filed under the name Salmo salar (Atlantic salmon). Its description in RNAcentral is "lncRNA (ENSSSAG00000116726.1)". The record is from RNAcentral. Lineage: Eukaryota; Metazoa; Chordata; Actinopteri; Salmoniformes; Salmonidae.
AAAAUGUAAUUUGUCCUCAUAUUCCACAAACAAAUAAAUUCAAUCAAUCGUAUUUAAUAAAGCCCUUUUUACAUCAGUAACUGUGACAAAGUGCAAUACAGACAGACCCCCUCUACUUGAAAUGGAUUCAGGUUGGCUGUCUAUCAUUGGGAGUCUUUCAAUAAGACACUUUCAAAAGUCAGAAGCAGAGAAAUCAAGAGGUGGUCAUGUCCUUGCGGUAGAAAAGCGAACUGAAAGUGAAAUAGCUAACCAGAAGAAGAGACGCCACGAAGGAGACCUUCAACCCUGGAGAGAUUGUCAGGCGAAACGACUGUGCAACAGAGUGGGAGUCUGCGUCCAGGUUGAACAUGGCGGGAUGGUGACUGACAGUGCCAUGGAUACAUGGGAUGCCAGCAUGCAACAGCAGAGUGUCCCAAACAGCAACAGCGGUGUCGGCAUCAACCACCCAGCCUCUAACAUGGUCUAUGCAGUCCAUGCAGUCCAAGGCAGCCAACGUUGUAAUCGGUGCCUGGCAGGGGAGCCUGGGCACAUUAACCACAUCAUGGGGUAUUGAUUGGUUAUCGUCAUGAUCAGAGAUUGUUUGAAGAACUGAAGGGUCCUUGAGGAUGAAGAGAUUUGAUUGAUUGAUUGAUUGAUUGCUUGAUCAAGCCAUUGUGUAUGUGGCUGUGAACGUUUUAUCAGUGUGCCUUGCCUUUUCUUGCUUUUAACCACAAACACUGUAUUGCUUCAUGGAGAGCCUCACAUGUUUACACUACCUAACACUGGUAUGGGUAAAAUGGCUACUAACCAGACAGUAGACAUAAUAAUUUCAUACCGUCUUACUAACAUUCUGUUUGAAUGGAAAGAUAACCACUACAGUGUAGUCUACAUACAACCAUAAGGAAUGAGCCAUCAAGCCACCAUUAAUACUGUAACUUUACAAUGUAAUGUGGAUACUCAUUUAAAGUCAAUGGAUCUAUUAAAAAAAAUGACUUAUUGUCCCAGUAUCAAGACUGCUUCUAAAGCUGCCAGGAAAUAUACAUGUAAAUAAUAAUAAUAUUGAUAAGUAAAAACUUUUAAAGUUAUAUCAUUAUUAACCUUUUUGAAAUGGAUAAUCCUGUCUGCAAAUAUAUUUUUGUGAAAUACAUAUUUGAUAUAUAUUUUUCUAAAAUGUAAUUGGCUGAAUAUAAAAUAAGAAGUUUGUAACAAUGUUUGUGCUAAUUGUUUAAUUUUGGAUAGUGUCCUGAAUUUAGUGUUAAUCUCAUGAACAUUUUCAGCCAGUUUUCAAUAGUUUGAUCUACACUUGAAAUGUAGGGCUGUUUGACAAUGAUUUGUCUAUUUCCCACUAGAUUUGGUUUUGUGUUGUCUUACAAUGAUUUGAAGCCAGUUUCCACCUUGCCAAGCAGUGAUUUUUAUGCAAGGAAUAGACAAUAGUUGAUGCUGUUAAAUUUCAGGUUAUGACUCAAUGUAAUAGUUUAUUUUUAGUACAAGAAAAGCAACUUUCAAUAAAGUAUGAUUUGAUGAACAAUGUGUGGACAUUUAGAUGUGUUUUUGUGACUACUGUUUCUUCAUUGUUAUUCAAUACCUUUUUUUAUAUGAAGCUUAUUUCCACAUGCCAUCUAUUCAUGGGCUUCUGCUGCCUGCUGUACAUUGUGUGGAUCUUUACC